GUGAAUCCACGGAGGGGAGGGGAGAGAGGUCUUCACAGUCAGGGGGAGGGAACAGGGAUGGACACUGGACAGGGACGCUGCUGUAUGUCUCUAGCUUGACUUGCAGCAGGAGGAGCAAGGAGGAGAGGGAAGGGCCCUCGGCUCAUACAAAAAAUCCUCACAGUGAAGAGCUUUUGCCGGCGCUGCUGCUGCCUGUCAGUGUGUGACAGCACUGCGCAUCAGCAAGUCUGCAGAGCGGGGAGCGCCUCUCUUGCCCAGCGCCUCCCUGCUUUGCAGACCUUGCUGAGCGGGUAGCGCCGGGCCUGACGCCGCCAGGGCUAUUUAAUAGUGUAGUGUAUUUUUUCUGUAGCUGGUGCUUUUUCUCUUCUCCUUUUCACAGUGUGUGACAUGGGGAAAGGAGCUGUGCCGACUGAACUCAGGAAUCAAAGGCAUUGGCGGACUGAAUGAAAAGGAGACCGCAGAAGACAUGAAACUGGUGGCUGUGGUGACAGCAGCCACUGGUACCAAGCAGACCGCCAAAGGAAGAGCUCAGCUGCCGUGAUUGAACUCUGAUGUACAGUAGCAUAGGUUAUUUUGAAAACAGAACAGAGAUCACAUGAUGCCCGGUUCUGUAAUGUGAGCAAUCCAUCAGAAAUGGUUCCCCUUUUUCUUCGCAUUAUCCCCCUACCUCCACUUACCUUUAUAGUAGGAAGGUGGGGUUGGCGUCCUCUCCUCCUUGUGCUGGAAAUUUGUGUCAGAUUCUGUAUUUGUUGUGAGCUUAGCAUUGGGGCCACUGAGGAGUGUUGGUGAGACUUGGGGUAUAUGAAGCUAGCUGCAGGGAUGACACUCUCUCAUUAGUUUGAACACAUAGGAUUCUGGAGCAAAAUACACCCAAGCCAAGGACACUUGAGGAUAUGGUGCUUAUGAUACAUGUGGAAUAACAGGAUACACUCUGGGACAUGCAACCUCUGCAGGGAGAGCAGGUCAGCCUCUCAAAGAAGAAGUCAGUCCAGGGCUGAAUGACACAUUUAUUGGUGAAGAGUGUCACCACACCUGCUGCAUCAUGCCACAAAUUUCAGCACUGUGUUGGAUUUGGGGCUGACAUGACCUGAUUCACGGCACAACGCAUCCACAUCCCACCUGGGCUACCGCUCCGAUUGUUUCAACUCACUGACUACUUUAAUGCAUACAUACCUGCUGACUCUCCCUGAUGUUGGGACAGAAAGAAAAGUGAUGGGCACAAUCAAGCAUUAUAUGACAAUGAGCAGAGUAUGACAACACUGUCCCACCCACCCAUUACUUCAUACAGCUCCCAUCUACAUGCGGUGGUGGGAGGUGACUCUCUGAAAAGUUGCUUUAAUGUUUUUGAAUAUUUUAUUAAUGAAAAAUGGUAACCACCUAUAAGUUUAUGAUUGUUCAUUUUUGAAUGCAUGGUUAACAAGAUAUGUCAAUU
Molecule: long non-coding RNA, 1432 nt
Organism: Pseudophryne corroboree (corroboree frog)
Lineage: Eukaryota; Metazoa; Chordata; Amphibia; Anura; Myobatrachidae
Exons: 4
Source: RefSeq, a predicted model, not a curated record